GUCACAACCCCCAGGAGACCUGGAGAACUGAAUGCUGCUGCCCCCAAGGAGGAGGCUGCUGUCUUAUCCCAGGAGGGAGAGCAGGAAAAUAAAAAGGUUCAAAAGGAAGUUGCUGCGUAUCCAUCUGAGGCCUCUGAGGACAGCAAAGAGCA
RNAcentral lists this non-coding RNA (152 nucleotides) under Pongo abelii (Sumatran orangutan). The record is from RNAcentral. Lineage: Eukaryota; Metazoa; Chordata; Mammalia; Primates; Hominidae.